Long non-coding RNA from Cavia porcellus (domestic guinea pig), 4391 nucleotides. RefSeq lists it as uncharacterized. The record is from RefSeq and is a predicted model, not a curated record. NCBI's taxonomy places the organism in Eukaryota, Metazoa, Chordata, Mammalia, Rodentia, Caviidae. The transcript is spliced from 3 exons.
CGGUCCGCGCUUUCGCAGCAAAGGGAUAUUUCAGAUUCCGGACUGCUGGCCUCUUAAUUGGCCUUCACUUUAAUGUUUGGUGGAAUUUUCCUAUCUUGAUUUAGGGAAACGAGGUUCUGGCAGAGUUUGUCCCCAACUUUAAAUUCAUUCAAGUGAUACUUAAUUUCUGCAGUGUGCCAAUCAUUGUGUUUUGGCUUGUGCAUUCAUCUUGGAUUCAGAAGCAGAAUUCAACUAGAACCACAGCGGUUAAAAGUCAAAGAUCCUGUCGCGUUCUUAAUGUAGGAAUGUGUCAAAGCAGUGCCACACAAUUUUCUGCAACUUCAGGGAUAUUUGCCUUAAUGAGAAGUUACAACAUUAGGUUUUCUGUGUUUGCAGAAUUGUCAAUAGAGCUGAGUUCAAGAUCAAAUGAUGGGAUGGAGGCUCGAGUGAUCUCCAAGAAGCUUAAGUACUUUGUAAAGAGUCAUAUGAAGACAGAGAAGAUUAGUAUUACUGUUUACAAUACUGUAGCAUCUCAAGGCCUUCAGUUAGAAACAAACGUCCAGGGAUCAUAAUGUGAGACAACUGAGAGAAGCAAAGACAAUUGAAAUGACUGACUAAAUAUCAAGUACUGUGUCAAAGACUCAAGCUGGUCUAAGAACAUGCACAUUUGAAGACUUGCCCAUUUCAACAUUUACUGCUAAGAAGCACCCCACAUAAUUUAAAAAGACAACAUCAGAAACAAAACAAAAUCUUUGUUGUAGAAAACAACUCAAGUCCUUAAGAGCUUGCUAGUUAUACUCCACUCAUUUAAGGGUUUGGGGCAGGUCUAUCAGUUCUGGUGGGCUGGUACAUUUUACUGUCAAAUGAACAAAAGUGUUUUUCCCCCUUUCUUUCUUUUUUCUUUUUUUUUUUUUUUUUUUUUUUUUUUUUGUCUUUUUCCUUUUUAUCGGUACCAGGGAUUGAACUCAUGACUGCCUGCUUGCGAGGCAGGCGCUUAUACGGCUGAGCUAAAUCCCCAGCCCCACCCCCUUUCUUUCUUUCUUCCCUAAAUUUCUCAACAAGGACUUGAAGACGUCUAACCACUCUUCCCUGCCAGUCUUCACCCUAUACCUUUUCAGCAUUCCUCUUCACCAAGGCUAGGGUGGUGGGAGCUGCUCAGAGUGCAGAUCAUAAAGGGCUGUACUGCCUAUAGAGAAUUUUAAAACAGUAACAAAACUGGCCAAAAGUCUGUCUGCCUUUAGUUAUUAUUAAGCAUUGGUAUUUCUGAAUGAUAUCACUGAUAUUCCUUAUUACCAGGACUGAUUGCUCCUACCACCUCCUCUUUCUUGACUCUACCCUCAUGUCAUUCACUCCCCUUUACCUGUUGUUUUAAAGACCCUCAGGUUCUCUGUGGUGUCUACAGGGCAGGGCACCAGUAGACAUGCUAAGAAUUCUUAAUCAACAACUAGCCACUCCCUUGAACUAAGAUAUGAAACAUGCAAAUGAGGAGGAAAUAAAGCUUCCUGCCUUCCCCACCCCCAGCACACUCAUUAAGACCCUGCCCUACAUUCACAAAUAGUGUCUGCCUCUUAAGAAGUCCUCUGAAGAUGGCACCCCUUAUUUUGUUACUAAUCUAGAAAUAGUAUUUCCAGCUUCUUAGAAGAGGAUCACAAAAGCAGGGUGUUCAUGUAGAAGACACUAGACACUAAGAAAAACUGCUUCACCAAUGCACAGGUGCAUUAUCUGGGAAGCAGUUAUGGUUGGUAUACAUUUUCCAAGUAUUUGCUGGACUGGUCUUUGCUAUGCAUGUUUAUCAGGAUACUGCCUAAAAUUCUGUUUCAGGCAUGCAUAGAUCAUUCCUCUCUACAUAUUGGUUAUUGGAGUUUUGCCAAUGCUGUUUCCCCAUUGAUUUUGGUGUGAUGAGAACUUUGCUUAUUUUUGAUGUUGCAAAUAGGAUAGACUCUAUUGAGAUUGACCAAACAAAAAUUCAGAAAUAAUGUAGGGCUGAGGUGUAGCUAAGUGGUAGAGAACAUGCUUAUCAUGAGUGAGGGGCUGGGUUGUUAGUGGUUGUUUGUAAAAUAGAAGUUUCCAUUACCAUGUUCAAGAAGUAGAAAGACAAGUCUAUGGCUAAAUGGGGAUACAAUUUCUGCAUGCAAAGUAACAUUGAGACAAUAUGGCAGCUAGAUAUGGGAUAACUGAAGUCCUACUUUUAAAAUUGAGGCAUAUAAAAAAGAUAAGGUCAAGACAUUUGUAGGUAAAUGGAUGCACCUUGAGAUCACACUAUUAAGGUAAAUAAAUCAGACACGUGUAAAUAUCACAUUGUUUCUCUGGUAUGAGAAACUCAAAGUGUACAUAAGAACCAAAAUAUAUAAUAGCUAUUGUGAAAUAGGAAAAAUAAUUUCAAAUGAGAAGAGGAACAAGGACGGGGGAAGGGGGAAGAGGAAAGGAAAAAAGAGAAAAGUGAGGAAAAAAUGGAAAUAAAAUUUUUGUAAAUAAGAAGAGGAAGAAGGGUUGAGGGGAAAGGAGGGCGAUAUUAAACAAAGAAGUAAGAUGUGUCCAGUACAGGUGCAAAUUCCCUAUGAUGAGUGUUAUCAUUUUAUAUAUAUAUAUAUAUAUAUAUAUAUAUAUAUAUAAAAUGUAGCGACAAAAAUGUGAAAAGAAAUAAAAUUGAGGCAUGACAUAUGUGAUAAUUAAAUAUAUCUAAAAUAUAGAGUGAACCAUAUUUGUAUACAAUUGUUUAACAUUCACUCAGAUCUGGCACCUCUGAAAUCUUCCUCAUGCCCCUCCCUGGUCAGUGUGCCUGCAGAUAUAAUUAGUAUUCAGAUGAAGUUACCUUUUUAUAUUAAUGAUUUCCAAUAGUUGUGUUUUACCCAACAGAGAGAUAAGAAUCACUACCGUGGGGGUUGGUGGCUCCUAGGGUAGCUCAUUUUUAGCCCUGCUAGCAUUUGGGGCUAUCCUGGGACUGUUAGGGAUUUCAUCUAAGUCUCCUAUGGUACUUGUUGGUAGGUAUCUACUUUUUGCUUCCUGUGAUCAGUCCAGUCAUAUAUGAUAAGGAAUACACCCAGAUGGAACUACUGCAGAAAUGCUUUCAGUGAAACAGCAGAGAAGAGAAGGCAAAACUGCACCUAACCACACUAUCUCCCCACAUAAUAGCCCAGACGAAGUGACAGGGUUUCUAUUUCAGCUUUAUUUUUUAGCCUAUGGUAAUUUUACUUAGCUAAUGAACAUUAAUAUUAAUGCGUAAUCAACAUGGUAAGGUUAACAAUGGAGUACCCAAGACAACAAACCAUAUUUCUGUAUCUUUGGUUAUUAUUCAUACCUUCAACACAGUGGGCACUCAAAAAAUACUUGGACUAAACUGUGACUGGUUUUGAAAUUAGUAUUAGAAAUGUAAAGGAGCUACUAACUAACAUGCCACAGUCUUUUUCUCUUGCUUUUUUCUCAGGUUGUCUGCCCCUUCUUAUCCAUCUAUCAAUGUGGUGCUCAAGUUGGUAGUAGUUGUUUACUCCCUCAGAAAAAAAUCAAUUAACACGACUAUUUAUUGAUCCCUUUCUGUGUGCAUGGCACUGUGUGCAAAGUACUGUGAAGGGAACUGGAGAAGUACAAAUAAAUAUGCCCUCUGGAGCUCCUAUCUCAGUCGCUGGGAAUAUUUUUCUGGCUUGAAAAUAGCGCUUUGGUUCAAGCACAGAGUGUGGAGCCUAAAUGCAAUGCUUGAGCCAGCCAUUUACUAACCGAGUGUCUCUGGGCAAGUUACUUAACCUCUUUGUAACACAGUUUUGUUAUCUGUAAACUGACGGUGAUGAAAAUAACUGCCUUGUGUGGUUAAUAUGAAAUGGCUCAGUUAAUAUGUGUGAAGAACUUAAAGAAGAUCCUGGAUCAUAAUGUACACUAUUGGAGAGUUUGCUCAUUUUUUUCACUCUCAAAGUUAAAGCAGGCCCAUGAACUCAAUAUAUGCCAAGAACAGAUUGAAAUGUGUCAUGCAGGACAAUACUUAUUUGUAAUACUCAGCAUAACUUUACUGUAAAAUAUUUUGCAGCCAACUACAUGUGAAAUUUAUGAACUUGGAAAGCAAGCAGAAUAAAACUAUGUAAUGAGUUUAGGCUUAUGACACCCAGGAAUGUGGUAAGAAUUCAGGCUCCACCACUCACUAACAAUGUGCCCAGGAGAAAGUUAGGUGACCUGUCUGAGACUCUGUUCCUUCAUCUGGAAAUAGAAGAAUAAUAUAUACUUCAUAAAAUUAUUGUGAGGAUUAAAUGAGUUCCUACAUUUGAAUCACUUGGCACAGAAUCUGGCACAUAAUAUGUGUUCAUUAAGUGUUACUUCUGUUUUAGCCUAAAUUGUAAAAAGUACAUGAGUUAGUAACUAUAAAGCAUUUAUCCCAGUGUCUGGCAAAUAGCAAGAAUUCAAUAAAUGAUGCUUUUCUUCUUCUUUUC